GUAGGUGGCAAGCGUUGUCCGGAAUUAUUGGGCGUAAAGCGCGCGCAGGCGGUCCUUUAAGUCUGAUGUGAAAGCCCACGGCUCAACCGUGGAGGGUCAUUGGAAACUGGGGGACUUGAGUACAGAAGAGGAAAGCGGAAUUCCAAGUGUAGUGGUGAAAUGCGUAGAGAUUUGGAGGAACACCAGUGGCGAAGGCGGCUUUCUGGUCUGUAACUGACGCUGAGGCGCGAAAGCGUGGGGAGCAAACAGGGAUUAGAUACCCUGGUAGUCCACGCCGUAAACGAUGAGUGCUAAGUGUUAGGGGGUUUCCCGCCCCUUAGUGCUGCAGCUAACGCAUUAAGCACUCCGCCUGGGGAUACGGCCGCAAGGCUG
RNAcentral lists this ribosomal RNA (372 nucleotides) under uncultured organism. RNAcentral's name for it is "partial 16S ribosomal RNA". It matches the Rfam family "Bacterial small subunit ribosomal RNA", at positions 527 to 896 of the family's 1533-position model. The record is from RNAcentral.